UUCCGUAGGUGAACCUGCGGAAGGAUCAUUAAUGAGUUUUGAAAACAGAAGUCUGUUGCUGGUACGGAAACGUUACAUUGUGCACGGCUUCUGUGCUCAAUCCAUUUCAACCUCCUGUGCACCUUAUCGAAGUUAAUAGUCUCUUUUCUUUUGCUGGCCCUUAUCAGUGCAUGUGCACGCUUGGCUAGUUGUUUCUUAAAGGCGCACUUGUGCACCUUGUUGUUAGUAGCUUUGAAACGGUAAAGUUUUGAGUCGAGUGUCCGAUCUUGGCCGGUAAGGGGAAGAUAGUCGAAAGUCUUUGUCUUUUCAUAAUCACUUUGUAUGUCUAUGUAUAAGAAUGUUUUCUAAGGCAUUUCUUUGAUGGGCUUUAAAUCAUAUACAACUUUCAACAACGGAUCUCUUGGCUCUCGCAUCGAUGAAGAACGCAGCGAAAUGCGAUAAGUAAUGUGAAUUGCAGAAUUCAGUGAAUCAUCGAAUCUUUGAACGCACCUUGCGCUCCUUGGUAUUCCGAGGGGCAUGCCUGUUUGAGUGUCAUGUUUAUUCUCAAACCCUUUGUUACUUUGUUGACUCUGUUUCAAAGUGUUUGGAUUUGGAGGGUUUGCUGGCAUUUAAUGUGUAGUUGAUUGUAGACUUUGUCGGCUCUUCUUAAAUUCAUUAGCUGGGACCUUUGGUUCGCAUUUUAGCCCCUGGUGUGAUAGUAUAGUGUUCAUCGGCGUGGCUUAGCUUACGAUGAUUGUGUGGUUCUAAUUGUCCUUUCUGACAAGGUCACUUUUGACCUGUCUGUUGAUCAUUUUGACCUCAAAUCAGGUAGGAUUACCCGCUGAACUUAAGCAUAUCAAUAAGCGGAGGAAAAGAAGCUAGACAAGGAUUCCCCUAGUAACUGCGAGUGAAGCGGGAAA
This 899-nucleotide ribosomal RNA is filed under the name Macrocybe sp. BAB-4940. Its description in RNAcentral is "eukaryotic LSU rRNA". The stretch from base 381 to 534 matches the Rfam family "5.8S ribosomal RNA". Lineage: Eukaryota; Fungi; Basidiomycota; Agaricomycetes; Agaricales; Callistosporiaceae. The record is from RNAcentral.